AUGGCCACCGGCCAUCCUGCGGCCUUCCCUCAUCCCGGACUUCUACAAGGCACCCGGGGCGCCCCUCUCUCCCUUCCCGAAACCCUAGCCCCCAAAUCUCCCCAUCUCCUUCUCCCUCUCAGAUUCGCUCUGGCCCCUCUUCUCGUUCUGGAGGGGAUCGAGGACGCCGUCACCAUGGUCGUCCCGUUCUCGCAGCCACCGUGCUCCCCGCCGGCUAGCUGUGUGCCUGGGCGCCCCGUCUCCUUCGUCUACAUCGACUACGCCCUCGUGGUCAAGCAAGGGAGCCACAACAACGCCGGAUCAAGUCAUCUUCCUCUGCCACGGCCGCCGCACCUCGCCGCUGGACCCGCUUGUCUCCGACUAGCCUCGGCCUCCUCGAGCUCGCCACUGUGCUCACUACCCCUAUCUGUUGAUGCCCCUGUGAUCGACUACAUCGACGACGACCCUUCUUCCCUUUCAGCGGAGCUUCCAGAUGGUGGAUCCCUGGAGCCAGAUGCCACUGCCGACGGAUACUACUACAUGGAGGCCGCCGAAGACCAGGAGUAG
This 546-nucleotide ribosomal RNA is filed under the name Triticum aestivum (bread wheat). RNAcentral's name for it is "partial small subunit ribosomal RNA". The record is from RNAcentral. Lineage: Eukaryota; Viridiplantae; Streptophyta; Magnoliopsida; Poales; Poaceae.